This 3551-nucleotide long non-coding RNA is filed under the name Malus domestica (apple). Its description in RNAcentral is "long non-coding RNA (MDOM_LNC016442)". The record is from RNAcentral. Lineage: Eukaryota; Viridiplantae; Streptophyta; Magnoliopsida; Rosales; Rosaceae.
CUUUGAAUGGCCUUGAUCUUUGAUUGGUCCACUUCAAUACCAUGGUGCUUGACAAUGAUGCCGAGGAAUUUCCCAGAGGUGACGCAAAGUGUACACUUCAACGGGUUCAUUUUGAGGUUGUAGUGCCGUAGUUUGUCGAACACCAUUCGUAAAUCCUUCAAGUGAUUAGAUCUCUUCUUGGUCUUGAUAACUACGUCGUCUACGUAACAUUCUAUGUUUUUGUGUAUCAUGUCGUUAAAGAUCUUCUACAUUGCAAGUAGAUAUGUAGCCUCAGUGUUCUUCAAGCCAAAGGGCAUUACUUUGUAGGAGUAGAUACCUAUUGGACGGCUUUAGCUGUGAUGUAGAUGAUUGAUAAACAACGCCCAUUUAGCUAGUUGCAUUGUUAGAAUGGGUUUGGACGUAACAUACUUGACUGGGUCGACUUUAGCAACCAAGUGGAUGGUGUAAGCAUGCAUGUAGUGUCUUAGCUUUUGGACGGCAAAGACUAGGGCUAGGCACAUCUUCUCGAUCAGUGAGUAGUUAAGCUCGUCACCAAUGAGAGUUCUACUUAGGUAGCAGAGUGCUCUUUCCUUUUAGUCUUCAUUUUCUUAUGCCAAGAGUGCUCCAAUAGAACCUUCUUAUGCAGCAAUGUGUAAGAUGAGCGGUUUUCCAGGCACGGGUGCUCCUAAGACCGGUGGGCUUGCCAAGUAGCAUUUUAUGCUCUUGAAGGCGUUGCGGCAAGUGUCAUCCCAUAUGAAUGGAGCAUCUUUCUUCAUGAGUCAACCAAAGGGUUAACAGCGUCCAACAAGGUUAGAGAUGAAACGCUUAAUGAAGGCUAGUUGUCCUUGUAGACUUUUCAGCUCGUGUAGAUUCAUUGGCUCAGGCAUGCUUUGAAUGGCCUUGAUCUUUGAUUGGUCCACUUCAAUACCAUAGUGCUUGACAAUGAAGCCGAGGAAUUUCCCAAAGGUGACGCAAAGUGCACACUUCAACGGGUUCAUCUUGAGGUUGUAGUGCCGUAGUUUAUCGAACACCAUUCGUAAAUCCUUCAAGUGAUUGGAUCUCUUCUUGGUCUUGACAACUACGUCGUCUACGUAACAUUCUAUGUUUUUGUGUAUCAUGUCGUUAAAGAUCUUCUACAUUGCAAGUAGAUAUGUAGCCUCAGUGUUCUUCAAGCCAAAGGGCAUUACCUUGUAGGAGUAGAUACCUAUUGGAGUGCGGAAAGCUGUUAAUUCCUCGUCUUCGAGAGCCAUGCGGACUUGAUUGUACCCAGAGGAGCCGUCCGUGAAUGAUAGCUCAUCAUGGCCAGUGGUUAUGUCCACCAUGAUUUCGAUGAUUAGCAAAGGAAAGUCAUCAUUCGGGGCAAGCAUCGUUAAGGUCUCGGAAGUUUAUACAAACAUGUAUUUGUCCAGGUUUCUUCAAGACAAUGACGAUGUUGGAGAUCCACUUGGGGUAUUGUGUUGGAAUAGCUUUUGAUGUAAUAGCUUUUGAAAUACUUGUUGUGUUAAACUAUUAUAUGUUUAAUGAAAGGCAAAUCUUAUUGUUAAUCACUAUUUAUUGUAUUAUGUGUUUAAGCAAUAAGGUAAUCCAAGGAAUUUAUUUAAUCUAAAAGAGAAGUGAUCUAAGUAAGUUAGAUAAACGAGACCUUUCGCUUAUGUUCAUUCCUAAAAUGUUCCUAACCAUAGGAUUGCCAAUUGGGCAUUGACAAUCCGCUAAGGUUAGUAUGUGUUAUGUUAACUCAAGCGUGAGUAUGACUAGUCUCAAGUCAACUAAUGUUGGACACUGAGACAAACACAUAGAUGCUCAAAAGGUAAUCGAGUACACUAAACAAUGAUCAAAAGAGAGUUCAAACAUACAUGUCAAGUAAGAACUCGUAAGUUGCAAUAUGCAAAGUAGUCAUUUGACCUGAGGCAUCAUAGAUGUCUAAUGGCUAGGUCAUUGAUCUUUGAUCAUGUCAAAGAAAUUUCAAUGAGAGUGUCCACGACAUUGUUGGGGUCAAGCUAUCUAAUCUUGUAGGCAUAUGAAUGCACAACAAGGGAUCUCUAACCUUCCAUGGUGGAAGGAGAAUACUCUAAGAUGUGAUUCGAGAGUCUUUGGCAAAAGCAUAUGAAUGUGACUUUGGAAGUUUGUUCCAAAUCAAAUUCAAUUGAAUCAUAUAGAGAAGUAUCACAUUGGAUAGUUGACAUGAAACAAACUAUCACUCAAACAAUGUGAUUAAGAGUAUUGUAUUAGAGAAUGACCGUAUUGCAUUGUAAUUGUAACUGAAUAGGUUCUCCAACCACUUCUACUUAGCUUGGGUAGCCAUGACAUACUGCUAGGUGUCACUCAUGGUUUUUGGAAGCCCUGAAGAUUAGCAAACACUAAUCUUCAUUGAAGGGAGAAUUGAAAUGUGGUAUAAUCAAUCGUUAAGAGUAACAAUCGCCUACAACCUCGCUAAUUGGAACCUAAUGGAUCGUCCACUAAGUAAGGAUGAAAGCGAAGAAAUAUAAAUGUGAUGGAUAAGCAAUUACAUGGUUUAAUUGAGAAUGAUCAAGAUUAAUUAAUUAGUUAAUUAAUUAUACGAAAGGUUCGUAUUGGGCUUUCAAUUUAUUUUCAGGUCUUGGGGGCCCAAAAGUGUUUUGGUCCACAAGGCCCAUUAUGUUUAAGUUGUAUCACAACUAAAACAAAAUGGGCAAUUAGGCCAACAACAAAGUCAACAUCGGCCAUAAGGGUGAGUGGAAGCAAACUUGAAUUAAUUGCAAGUUUGUCACUCACAUGUGAGGUAGUAUAAAGUCAUCUUUAUAGCUUUUACUCACUAGGGUUUUCUUGAGGCAAAGAAGAGAAACAUUGUCUCUCUUUUUUCUCUAUAGAGGCCGGCCACUUCGGGAGACUUUUAAUAGCAUCAAAAAUCUCUCUAAGGCAUCCAUCUUCUCUUUACACUACAUCCUUGGUGUGGAGAAUUAGAGACACUAAACCUUUGGUGUUCUUGGAGACCCUUUCCUCAGAUCCUUAAGGAGCAAAGGAGUAUCAAAAUGAAGAAAAUCACAGAGCUUCAAGGAUCUAGGAGGUGACUUGAAGGCCCUCCACUUGGGUGAAUCCUUUGUGUAAACAAGGAAGAGCUUCAAGGAUAAUGAAUCUCAAAAUCCUUUCUUCUAUUUAAUGUUGUUAAAGAGUCUUGUGUUUCACCAUUCACUAGGCUUUGAAAGUCAUGGGUUUUUAGAAUUGUUUUUUAAUGCAUGCUUACUUUAAAGUGUUAUUGGUUUGCUUAUAUGUUCAAAUGUUCUCACGUGUUCUUAGCUAGGACAAAAAAUUUCCUUCAUAUUGCACCUCUCGAAUUAAGCCUAUUCGAUUAGCUUGUCAAUCUCGUCCUCAAUUUGUGGGAUGAGCUCGGAUUGAUAGCGUCUUUGAGUUUGCUUUAUCGGUCAUGUUCCAGGCUUGACUGCAAGACGAUGCACAACGAUGGUAGGGUCAAGGUCGGGCAUUUCCUUAAAGGUCCAAGCAAAGACGUAUUUGUACUCCAUUAGUAGUUGGUAGUACUCCUCGAUCUCGUCCGCACUUAGUAGCGUACUUACGUAGAUAGGUUUUGGCUCCUCGCU